Molecule: long non-coding RNA, 952 nt
Organism: Cucurbita moschata (crookneck pumpkin)
Lineage: Eukaryota; Viridiplantae; Streptophyta; Magnoliopsida; Cucurbitales; Cucurbitaceae
Exons: 3
Source: RefSeq, a predicted model, not a curated record
UAUUGAGCCAUCCGAGAGAUCCUUCCCGGUUUUUUCUUCGUGGGAGCUAGUGCUAACAUCGGAUGUUAGCUUGUUUUUUCUGAAUCUUCGACUCGUCAAAUUGUGUUACAGAUCGAGCACUCCUCUGUUAUCGUUUGCUUGUAGAAAUCUGGAAUGAUACGGAGACGGAGCGAAGGAAAAAGUUGUUGGAGCUGCGUGGAAUUGAUCCUGAUGAGUUUUUGCUGAACCUUCUACUAAUACUACGUACUGGCGGUUUGAUCGGACACUUGACAAUUUUUGGACCCAAGUGGACUCAUAAGGAAAAAGAAAGAAAAGGUUAAAACGACUUGAUGAAGUUUCUGUAGCCGCCGAUUGAAAUUAGCUUGUGAUAUUGUUCGGAAACAGAUGCUACAAGCCUAAGUUCAAGUGGUCCGAGUGUAUCUUAAAGAGCUGCAUGCUUUUCCAUCAAAGAAUUUAAAAGUGCUGCAUGCUUUGAAGCAUUGUCAUCGUUCCAUUCUGUUGGUUAUUGGGCAUUGCAGUAUCCAGAUGUUGAUACUACUUUUCUUGAUUGUAUUGGCAUCUUGGAAGUACAGGGUUCCUAACUGUUGCAGGUCAAGGGUGAAUCUACAGCCACCUGCGCUUUGUCUAGUUCUAGAAUAUAUAUCCAAGCUUCAUGAUGGCAAGCCUUAAAGAAAACAUGGCAGAGAAUAUACCACCUAAUUAUUUCCCCGGUGACCGGUAGUACAUACUUUAGAAGAUUGUAUAGGAACUCAAAUAUCUUUUUUAUCGAUCUUUUUGGUUGUGUCCAGCAUUAAAGUGUCAGUAUGCCUGUGUAGUAUUUAGAAUCGUGCAUUUUAUAGACUUACUGAUCUCCAAGUUUACCUUGGUCAUUCUUGUGCUGCUUUAGUUAUUCCAAACUUCUGUUGUACUCAACUAGUAAGAAUCUUAUCGGAUCUUAUUUGAUUUUGCAAAA